This 429-nucleotide ribosomal RNA is filed under the name Chloroflexota bacterium. RNAcentral's name for it is "Chloroflexi bacterium partial 16S ribosomal RNA". It matches the Rfam family "Bacterial small subunit ribosomal RNA", at positions 355 to 776 of the family's 1533-position model. Lineage: Bacteria; Bacillati; Chloroflexota. The record is from RNAcentral.
UGGGGAAUAUUGCACAAUGGGCGCAAGCCUGAUGCAGCCAUGCCGCGUGUGUGAAGAAGGCCUUCGGGUUGUAAAGUACUUUCAGUCGGGAGGAAGGUGGUAAGGUUAAUAACCUUAUCAAUUGACGUUACCGACAGAAGAAGCACCGGCUAACUCCGUGCCAGCAGCCGCGGUAAUACGGAGGGUGCAAGCGUUAAUCGGAAUUACUGGGCGUAAAGCGCACGCAGGCGGUCUGUCAAGUCGGAUGUGAAAUCCCCGGGCUUAACCUGGGAACUGCAUUCGAAACUGGCAGGCUAGAGUCUUGUAGAGGGGGGUAGAAUUCCAGGUGUAGCGGUGAAAUGCGUAGAGAUCUGGAGGAAUACCGGUGGCGAAGGCGGCCCCCUGGACAAAGACUGACGCUCAGGUGCGAAAGCGUGGGGAGCAAACAGG